This 460-nucleotide ribosomal RNA is filed under the name uncultured bacterium. RNAcentral's name for it is "partial 16S ribosomal RNA". It matches the Rfam family "Bacterial small subunit ribosomal RNA", at positions 338 to 795 of the family's 1533-position model. The record is from RNAcentral.
CCUACGGGUGGCAGCAGUGGGGAAUAUUGGUCAAUGGGCGCGAGCCUGAACCAGCCAAGUCUCGUGAGGGAAGACGGCCCUACGGGUUGUAAACCUCUUUUGCCGGGGAGCAACGGGCGCCACGUGUGGCGCCACUGAGAGUACCCGGAGAAAAAGCACCGGUUAACUCCGGGCCAGCAGCCGCGGUAAUACGGGGGAUGCGAGCGUUAUCCGGAUUUAGUGGGUUGAAAGGGUGCGUAGGCGGAGCGUUAAGUCAGUGGUCAAAUUGAGGGGCUCAACCCCUUCCCGCCAUUGAAACUGGCGCUCUUGAGUGGAAGAGAGGUAUGCGGAAUGCGUGGUGUAGCGGUGAAAUGCAUAGAUAUCACGCAGAACCCCGAUUGCGAAGGCAGCAUGCCGGCUUCCUACUGACGCUGAAGCACGAAAGCGUGGGGAUCGAACAGGAUUAGAUACCCCUGUAGUC